CCUACGGGUGGCAGCAGUGAGGAAUAUUGGUCAAUGGACGAGAGUCUGAACCAGCCAAGUAGCGUGAAGGAUGACUGCCCUAUGGGUUGUAAACUUCUUUUAUAUGGGAAUAAAACGUUCCACGUGUGGGAUUUUGUAUGUACCAUAUGAAUAAGGAUCGGCUAACUCCGUGCCAGCAGCCGCGGUAAUACGGAGGAUCCGAGCGUUAUCCGGAUUUAUUGGGUUUAAAGGGAGCGUAUGUGGAUUGUUAAGUCAGUUGUGAAAGUUUGCGGCUCAACCGUAAAAUUGCAGUUGAAACUGGCAGUCUUGAGUACAGUAGAGGUGGGCGGAAGUCGUGGUGUAGCGGUGAAAUGCUUAGAUAUCACGAAGAACUCCGAUUGCGAAGGCAGUUCACUGGACUGCAACUGACACUGAGGCUCGAAAGUGUGGGUAUCAAACAGGAUUAGAUACCCUUGUAGUC
RNAcentral lists this ribosomal RNA (460 nucleotides) under uncultured bacterium. Its description in RNAcentral is "partial 16S ribosomal RNA". It matches the Rfam family "Bacterial small subunit ribosomal RNA", at positions 338 to 795 of the family's 1533-position model. The record is from RNAcentral.